GAUGAACGCUGGCGGCGUGCCUAAUACAUGCAAGUCGAGCGAACGGACGAGAAGCUUGCUUCCCUGAUGUUAGCGGCGGACGGGUGAGUAACACGUGGAUAACCUACCUAUAAGACUGGGAUAACUUCGGGAAACCGUAGCUAAUACCGGAUAAUAUUUUGAACCGCAUGGUUCAAAAGUGAAAGACGGUCUUGCUGUCACUUAUAGAUGGAUCCGCGCUGCAUUAGCUAGUUGGUAAGGUAACGGCUUACCAAGGCAACGAUGCAUAGCCGACCUGAGAGGUGGAUCGGCCCCCCGGGAAUUGGGAAACGGCCCAGAUCCCUACGGGAGGCAGCAGUAGGGAAUCUUCCGCAAUGGGCGAAAGCCUGACGGAGCAACGCCGCGUGAGUGAUGAGGUCUUCGGAUCGUAAAACUCUGUUAUUAGGGAAGAACAUAUGUGUAAGUAACUGUGCACAUCUUGACGGUACCUAAUCAGAAAGCCACGGCUAACUACGUG
This 496-nucleotide ribosomal RNA is filed under the name uncultured bacterium. RNAcentral's name for it is "partial 16S ribosomal RNA". It matches the Rfam family "Bacterial small subunit ribosomal RNA", at positions 28 to 507 of the family's 1533-position model. The record is from RNAcentral.